GACGAACGCUGGCGGCGUGCUUAACACAUGCAAGUCGAGCGAUGAAGCUUCUUCGGAAGUGGAUUAGCGGCGGACGGGUGAGUAACACGUGGGUAACCCGCCUCAUAGAGGGGAAUAGCCUUCCGAAAGGAAGAUUAAUACCGCAUAAGAUUGUGGCUUCGCAUGAAGCAGCAAUUAAAGGAGCAAUCCGCUAUGAGAUGGACCCGCGUCGCAUUAGCUAGUUGGUGAGGUAACGGCUCACCAAGGCGACGAUGCGUAGCCGACCUGAGAGGGUGAUCGGCCACAUUGGGACUGAGACACGGCCCAGACUCCUACGGGAGGCAGCAGUGGGGAAUAUUGCACAAUGGGGGAAACCCUGAUGCAGCAACGCCGCGUGAGUGAUGACGGUCUUCGGAUUGUAAAGCUCUGUCUUCAGGGACGAUAAUGACGGUACCUGAGGAGGAAGCCACGGCUAACUACGUGCCAGCCGCCGCCGUAA
This 478-nucleotide ribosomal RNA is filed under the name uncultured bacterium. RNAcentral describes it as "partial 16S ribosomal RNA". It matches the Rfam family "Bacterial small subunit ribosomal RNA", at positions 28 to 523 of the family's 1533-position model. The record is from RNAcentral.